AUGCAUCCGCUCGUGGGGGCACUGCUGGUGGGGGCGGGGAGCGAUGUUGGUGGCCGUGCUGGGGCCUGGCGGCGUGGGUGGGCGCGCUGGAACUGGCCGUGUCGAUGGCGUCGUUCCCGCCGGAGACCACGUUCGUGUGGGCGCUGGCCAGCGGCGGGUGCGAGGCCGGGUCGGUGCGCGUGCCUCUCGACGGUCUGCUCGACCCGGCCGGGUCGGUGGUUGUACGGCUUCGAUGUGCUGCGCACGGCGAAGGGCUUCCGUCGCUCGACGAGGUCAUCCAGCGAUAAGUCGGAUGAGCUCGUUGGCCACAUUGGGCAGCUGCCGCCCUCUGCUGAGAUUGUUCACACCAUGGAUGAGAUCUCCAACACUGUUUGCUCGGUCAUUGAUUCGGCGGAGCUGUGCAGGGACACGCACUCAGAUAGGGAGUUUACGGAGGAAGCAGAUAAGGCAUCAAUGACGAAUUAUGAGCAUCUUCAAUACCUGAACACAUAUACUACUUUGUACAACGCGGUACUAAAAGCUGAGAGUGAAGGUGCCCUGCUCUCAGAGGAAUAUGGGAAGGCAGCAAAUAACUUGCGUAUCGACUUUGAGAAAGGAGGGAUUCAUCUUCGUAACAGUUGCCAUAGAGAUAGUUAUAUUCUGUUGCAAUUGUUAGCUUUGAAUUUGAAUUAG
Molecule: ribosomal RNA, 672 nt
Filed under: Triticum aestivum (bread wheat)
Lineage: Eukaryota; Viridiplantae; Streptophyta; Magnoliopsida; Poales; Poaceae
Description: partial small subunit ribosomal RNA
Source: RNAcentral